CUACGUUAAAGACUGAUAAUACUAAACAUCCAUAUUUCUUACUAGUUUUAAUAAGCCGAAAUAUAUGACACUACAGCUAACGUUAUCAUGAGCGAACAUCCAGAAUCGAAGUUGGUGCACCUCUUGAACGUGUGUUUGCUGUUGAAGAUAAUUCCUCUGUGGCCUCGGCUUGUAUGGAUGAAGUGCUUUCCAAUAUGCAUUUUAGUAGAGAUACCGUUAUCCCUGAUUCUCCUCGAAAGUUCAAUAAUAUAUAUUUGGAAACCACUUCAAGAGUACUUACUUCUCUACUCUGAUGAUAUCCUAGUAUACAUGUAUGAAGACACGAAAUUUGAGUGGAUAAUCUGCCCCCUUUGCUGCGGUAAAAGUGGCUGUUCAGAAAUAUUUACGAGCCUGUUACUUAAGGUGUUGAGUUUUGUAUUUUUGCUAUCAACUUGUUUUGUU
Molecule: long non-coding RNA, 441 nt
Organism: Pararge aegeria (speckled wood butterfly)
Lineage: Eukaryota; Metazoa; Arthropoda; Insecta; Lepidoptera; Nymphalidae
Exons: 3
Source: RefSeq, a predicted model, not a curated record